RNAcentral lists this long non-coding RNA (1329 nucleotides) under Pogona vitticeps (central bearded dragon). RNAcentral's name for it is "lncRNA (ENSPVIG00000019671.1)". Lineage: Eukaryota; Metazoa; Chordata; Lepidosauria; Squamata; Agamidae. The record is from RNAcentral.
ACAAAAGCUUCUUUUGCACAAAAGUUGGUUUCUUACUUAAAUGUCUGUCUAAUUGCCUCUCCAAUUUCAAUAAAAAUAGGAGAAGGGAUAUUUCGAGCAGCAGACUUGUCUAAUCAACCUGUCUCCCACAGACAAAUCUUCUCCAUUCCUAAAGCCACCGAUUGUAUAUUGUUGGUAAAUAUUAACUUCAUUCUGUUUGCCAAAAUAAAGAAAAUAUUUUUCUCUGUCUCCUUAUUGCAAGAACAGGAGGUGCUCCCUGGGCAUGAAAUGAUCUGUGCUGGUUUUCCGAGUACAGUGGAUUCUCAACUUACAGACGGCUCCACUUACAGAUUUUUCGAGUUACAGACUUAUCUGGCCACAAAAUUUAGGUUUGACUUGCAGCCGGAGAAUCGAAAAAUGGAACAAAAACGGCCAGUUACGGAUUAAUCGGUUUUCAAUGCAUUGUAGGUCAAUGGAGCCUCGACCUACAGACUUUUUGACCUGCAGCCACUGUCCCAAUAUGGAUUAAUUCCGUAUGUUGAUGGUCCACUGUACCACAAGGAACCACUUUAUAGCUGGGUCUUCUUCUAGGUUAGCAACUUAUUCUGUAGCACACUUCUGAUUAUUCCCCUUUGUUAUGAUUAUUCAUAUAGGCAAGGGUUAGAUGUGCUCUGUGUCUAAACUCAACCUUGGUACAUAGGAGGUGGGCCCUUUCUGAACGAUUUAUAAAAUUGUCCCUCAAUUAUAAGUUGUUUUUGUAAGGCGUCAGAUCAGUUGCUGUGUUUGUGGCAUUUGGCAUGAAACAUUCAUUUGAAAGAUGCCUCCUUCUCACAAAAGUGUAUCUGGACACUACCUCGACGGAAAUUUGGAGAGUGUGUGUGUGUGUGUGCCUGAUGAAAAGGCCUUCUGUCAUCAGGAGGUUUCAGGCAGAUAAGACAGACGCUCAAACAAUUGUUAACAGUUGUAUAAAUGGGCCCACAUAAUUGUAUGAAUGGAUUGUAGUUUCGGCUCUAAAGUUAGCAGCACUGGGCUGGGUCAGGAUGCAAAUAGAUGGUAGGCUCGGAAUUUCCAUGUAGCAGAACUUGGAAAAACUAUGGUCGGGACUGUGGAGACGUCUAAUUCCCAGAGUCCCCCAGCUGGCAUAGCCAGGCCAUGUUGGAUGGGGGAUUCUGGAAGAUGUGAACCCAUGAAAUGAGUUUUUCCAAAUUCUGCAUGUAGCUUUAAAAGAUUCUGAGCUGCUUUUUAAGAAGGGUGCAAAAUGUAGUAAUUUUGGAUUGGUGCAUUUAUUUAUUUUCCUGAUCAAGCAACCAUUUGAAUAAAAUCCUUGCAUACUGUUUCUUUUGAGAUACA